RNAcentral lists this unclassified non-coding RNA (108 nucleotides) under uncultured fungus. RNAcentral's name for it is "sequence contains ITS1". It matches the Rfam family "5.8S ribosomal RNA", at positions 50 to 154 of the family's 154-position model. Rfam says of the family: 5.8S ribosomal RNA (5.8S rRNA) is a component of the large subunit of the eukaryotic ribosome. The record is from RNAcentral. Lineage: Eukaryota; Fungi.
GAAAUGCGAUACGUAAUGCGAAUUGCAGAAUUCAGUGAAUCAUCAAAUCUUUGAACGCAAAUUGCGCUCUUGGGUAGCCCUAGGAGCACGCCUCUCUCAGUAUCGGUU